AGUAUUCCACCAUAGUAGCUUCCUCUUCCUUGGGCCUUUUCUGGCCAGCACUUCAGUAGAUCAUUUAUUGAUCCUGGCAUGAUCUGUUGCAAUGCAAUCAUUUAGGCUUCCACAAUUGCAUAAUUACUCUGAAUGUCUCUCACACAGAAAGCACUUGCUACAUAGGUCAGAGCCUCUUUUUGGAGAUUCUCACGAAUGAGACAAGCUUCUUUACACAUUACCAUUUAAAUCAAGCUACCUUGAAUGGAGCUUUGGAUCUCCAGAUCUGUUUCCAUGGCAAAGGACUUGGUAAGUUCUCCGGUUUUGUUAAAAUUUUGUAGCAUGAUCUCACUGUGAGCAGACCCUUUUUUCUAGGGAUCCAUGUUAUGUUGCCUUCUGUAUUAGUGUGCUGCUGAUGUGUUCAAAAGACUGAAAAAAUCAACAGCCCAGUUUCAACUGUCAUAAGCUGGCUCUCUCAUCUUGCUCUUGUCCAAGCUAGUUACGCAAUUGCACGUUGCUUACUUGGUUUGGUGUUUAAAAG
This 520-nucleotide long non-coding RNA is filed under the name Solanum tuberosum (potato). Its description in RNAcentral is "long non-coding RNA (STUB_LNC006761)". The record is from RNAcentral. Lineage: Eukaryota; Viridiplantae; Streptophyta; Magnoliopsida; Solanales; Solanaceae.